GGAGAGGUGUCCGAGUUGGCCGAAGGAGCACGACUGGAAAUCGUGUAGACGGGCAUAACCUGUCUCGAGGGUUCGAAUCCCUCUCUCUCCGCCA
This 94-nucleotide transfer RNA is filed under the name Firmicutes bacterium HGW-Firmicutes-14. Its description in RNAcentral is "tRNA-Ser". It matches the Rfam family "tRNA". Rfam says of the family: Transfer RNA (tRNA) molecules are approximately 80 nucleotides in length. Their secondary structure includes four short double-helical elements and three loops (D, anti-codon, and T loops). Further hydrogen bonds mediate the characteristic L-shaped molecular structure. tRNAs have two regions of fundamental functional importance: the anti-codon, which is responsible for specific mRNA codon recognition, and the 3' end, to which the tRNAs corresponding amino acid is attached (by aminoacyl-tRNA synthetases). tRNAs cope with the degeneracy of the genetic code in two manners: having more than one tRNA (with a specific anti-codon) for a particular amino acid; and 'wobble' base-pairing, i.e. permitting non-standard base-pairing at the 3rd anti-codon position. Lineage: Bacteria; Bacillati; Bacillota. The record is from RNAcentral.